GUUUGAUCAUGGCUCAGGACGAACGCUGGCGGCAGGCUUAACACAUGCAAGUCGCACGAGAACGUUCUGGCUUUGCCAGAACAAGUACAGUGGCGGACGGGUGCGUAACGCGUAGAUAACCUGCCCUCAGGCGCGGGACAAUCACGGGAAACCGUGGCUAAUACCGCACGUCGUCUGGAGCCCGCAUGGGCACCAGAUGAAACCCCGCUUUGCGGGGGCCUUGGGAUGGGUCUGCGUCGGAUUAGCUCGUUGGUGAGGUAACGGCUCACCAAGGUGACGAUCCGUAGCUGGUCUGAGAGGACGAUCAGUCACACUGGGACUGAGACACGGCCCAGACUCCUACGGGAGGCAGCAGUGGGGAAUCUUGCACAAUGGGGGAAACCCUGAUGCAGCCAUGCCGCGUGGAGGAAGACACCCCUACGGGGCGUAAACUCCUUUUCUGAGAGAAGAAACCUCUGUAUAUUCAGGGCGUGACGGUAUCUCAGGAAUAAGCACCGGCUAACUCCGUGCCAGCAGCCGCGGUAAUACGGAGGGUGCAAGCGUUGUCCGGAAUCACUGGGCGUAAAGGGUGCGCAGGCGGGGCAGCAAGUCGGAGGUGAAAGCCCAUGGCUCAACCAUGGAAGUGCCUUCGAAACUGUUGCUCUUGAGUCCCGGAGAGGUUGUCGGAAUUCGUGGUGUAGCGGUGAAAUGCGUAGAUAUCACGAGGAACACCAGAGGCGAAAGCGGACAACUGGACGGGUACUGACGCUCAUGCACGAAAGCGUGGGGAGCGAACAGGAU
RNAcentral lists this ribosomal RNA (780 nucleotides) under uncultured bacterium. Its description in RNAcentral is "bacterial SSU rRNA". It matches the Rfam family "Bacterial small subunit ribosomal RNA", at positions 11 to 778 of the family's 1533-position model. The record is from RNAcentral.